GUGAAAAGCACCCCGGAAGGGGAGUGAAACAGUUCCUGAAACCGUGUGCCUACAAGUAGUUAGAGCCCGUUAAUGGGUGAUAGCGUGCCUUUUGUAGAAUGAACCGGCGAGUUACGAUUUGUUGCAAGGUUAAGCGGAAAAAGCGGAGCCGUAGCGAAAGCGAGUCUGAAUAGGGCGCAUAAGUAACAGGUCGUAGACCCGAAACCAGGUGAUCUACCCAUGUCCAGGAUGAAGGUAAGGUAAUACUUACUGGAGGUCCGAACCCACGCACGUUGAAAAGUGCGGGGAUGAGGUGUGGGUAGCGGAGAAAUUCCAAUCGAACUUGGAGAUAGCUGGUUCUCUCCGAAAUAGCUUUAGGGCUAGCCUCGAGGUAAAGAGUCAUGGAGGUAGAGCACUGUUUGGACUAGGGGCCCUUCUCGGGUUACCGAAUUCAGAUAAACUCCGAAUGCCAUGUACUUAUACUCGGGAGUCAGACUGCGAGUGAUAAGAUCCGUAGUCGAAAGGGAAACAGCCCAGACCACCAGUUAAGGUCCCCAAAUAUAUGUUAAGUGGAAAAGGAUGUGGGGUUGCUUAGACAACCAGGAUGUUGGCUUAGAAGCAGCCACCAUUGAAAGAGUGCGUAAUAGCUCACUGGUCGAGUGACCCCGCGCCGAAAAUGUACCGGGGCUAAACAUAUUACCGAAACUGUGGAUGAACCUCUUUAGAGGUUCGUGGUAGGAGAGCGUUCUAAGGGCGGUGAAGUCAGACCGGAAGGACUGGUGGAGCGCUUAGAAGUGAGAAUGCCGGUAUGAGUAGCGAAAGAAGGGUGAGAAUCCCUUCCACCGAAUAUCUAAGGUUUCCUGAGGAAGGCUCGUCCGCUC
Molecule: ribosomal RNA, 860 nt
Filed under: Listeria monocytogenes
Lineage: Bacteria; Bacillati; Bacillota; Bacilli; Caryophanales; Listeriaceae
Description: partial 23S ribosomal RNA
Rfam family: Bacterial large subunit ribosomal RNA
Source: RNAcentral